CUUUGUGGGGUGACGGCGUGCCUUUUGAAGAAUGAGCCUGCGAGUUAGUGGCAUGUGGCGAGGUUAACCCGGGUGGGGUAGCCGUAGCGAAAGCGAGUCUGAAUAGGGCGUUGAGUCGCGUGUUCUAGACCCGAAGCGGAGUGAUCUAGCCAUGGGCAGGCUGAAGCGUGGGUAAGACUGCGUGGAGGGCCGAACCCACCAACGUUGAAAAGUUGGGGGAUGACCUGUGGUUAGGGGUGAAAGGCCAAUCAAACUCCGUGAUAGCUGGUUCUCCCCGAAAUGCAUUUAGGUGCAGCGUCGUGUGUUUCUUGCCGGAGGUAGAGCACUGGAUGGUCUAGGGGGCCUACAAGCUUACCGAAAUCAGCCAAACUCCGAAUGCCGGUAAGUGAGAGCGCGGCAGUGAGACUGCGGGGGAUAAGCUUCGUAGUCGAGAGGGAAACAGCCCAGAUCACCAGCUAAGGCCCCUAAGCGUGUGCUAAGUGGAAAAGGAUGUGGGGUCGCAUAGACAACCAGGAGGUUGGCUUAGAAGCAGCCAUCCUUGAAAGAGUGCGUAAUAGCUCACUGGUCAAGUGGUUCCGCGCCGACAAUGUAGCGGGGCUCAAGCACACCGCCGAAGCUGUGGCAUUCACGCGUGUACUUCGCAUGGCCCUUUUGGGGGUUGUGUGCAGGUGUGUGGAUGGGUAGGGGAGCGUCGUGCCGGGGGUGAAGCAGCCGAGUGAUCGAGUUGUGGACGCGGUGCGAGUGAGAAUGCAGGCAUGAGUAGCGAAAGAAGGGUGAGAAACCCUUCCGCCGGAUGACCAAGGGUUCCAGGGCCAGGUUAAUCCGCCCUGGGUGAGUCGGGGCCUAAGGCGAGGCCGAGAGGCGUAGUCGAUGGAUAACGGGUUGAUAUUCCCGUACCCGCGAAGGAGCGUCCCUGAUGAACCUCGUUGUGCUAACCAUCCGAGCUUGGUGUGGUCUUCGGACUGUGCUGGGGGAGCGUGGGAACCUGGCGGGUAGUAGUCAAGCGAUGGGGUGACGCAGGAAGGUAGCUGAGCCCGGCCGGUGGUUGUGCCGGGGUAAGCGUGUAGGCCGUGUCGUAGGUAAAUCCGCGGCGCGUGUGGCUGAGACGUGAUGCCGAGCCGAUUCAGGUGAAGUCAGUGAUCCUAUGCUGUCGAGAAAAGCCUCUAGCGAGUUCCGAGCGGCCCGUACCCCAAACCGACACAGGUGGUCAGGUAGAGAAUACCGAGGCGAUCGGGUGAACUGUGGUUAAGGAACUCGGCAAAUUGCCCCCGUAACUUUGGGAGAAGGGGGGCCGGAGACGUGAAGGCACGUGCUGCUGGAGCGUUGUAUGGCCGCAGAGAGCAGGGGGAAGCGACUGUUUACUAAAAACACAGGUCCAUGCGAAGAAGUAAUUCGAUGUAUAUGGACUGACGCCUGCCCGGUGCUGGAACGUUAAGGGGACCUGUUAGUCUUUCGGGGCGAAGCGGAGAACUUAAGCGCCAGUAAACGGCGGUGGUAACUAUAACCAUCCUAAGGUAGCGAAAUUCCUUGUCGGGUAAGUUCCGACCUGCACGAAUGGCGUAACGACUUCCCCACUGUCUCAACCACAGGCCCGGCGAAAUUGCAUUACGAGUAAAGAUGCUCGUUACGCGCGGCAGGACGGAAAGACCCCGGGACCUUUACUAUAGCUUGACAUUGGUAUCCGAAUUUGCUUGUGUAGGAUAGGUGGGAGCCGGUGAAGUGUGCACGCCAGUGCAUGUGGAGGCAAUCUUGAAAUACCACUCUGGUUGGUUUGGGUAUCUAACUUCGGACCGUUAUCCGGUUCAGGGACAGUGUCUGGUGGGUAGUUUAACUGGGGCGGUUGCCUCCUAAAGGGUAACGGAGGCGCCCAAAGGUUCCCUCAGCCUGGUUGGCAAUCAGGUGUUGAGUGUAAGUGCACAAGGGAGCUUGACUGUGAGACUGACGGGUCGAGCAGGGACGAAAGUCGGGACUAGUGAUCCGGCACUGGCGUAUGGAAGCGGUGUCGCUCAACGGAUAAAAGGUACCCCGGGGAUAACAGGCUGAUCUUCCCCAAGAGUCCAUAUCGACGGGAUGGUUUGGCACCUCGAUGUCGGCUCGUCGCAUCCUGGGGCUGUAGCAGGUCCCAAGGGUUGGGCUGUUCGCCCAUUAAAGCGGUACGCGAGCUGGGUUUAGAACGUCGUGAGACAGUUCGGUCCCUAUCCGCCGUGCGCGUAGGAUACUUGAGAAGGGCUGUCCCUAGUACGAGAGGACCGGGACGGACGAACCUCUGGUGUGCCAGUUGUCCCGCCAGGGGCACGGCUGGUUAGCUACGUUCGGAAGGGAUAACCGCUGAAAGCAUCUAAGCGGGAAGCUCGCUUCAAGAUGAGGUAUCCCAUCCACCCUUGU
RNAcentral lists this ribosomal RNA (2385 nucleotides) under Salinispora arenicola CNT800. Its description in RNAcentral is "bacterial LSU rRNA". It matches the Rfam family "Bacterial large subunit ribosomal RNA", at positions 583 to 2823 of the family's 2925-position model. The record is from RNAcentral. RNAcentral also lists the same sequence under 1 other name. Lineage: Bacteria; Bacillati; Actinomycetota; Actinomycetes; Micromonosporales; Micromonosporaceae.